ACUGGGGUGGGGUAGUGGUAACCUUAACGCUUCCCAAGUUUAAACCUUCAACAAGCGUUAGCGCCGGGUUCGAUUCCCGGUCCCAGUA
Non-coding RNA from Ramaria rubella, 88 nucleotides. Lineage: Eukaryota; Fungi; Basidiomycota; Agaricomycetes; Gomphales; Gomphaceae. The record is from the annotation of a GenBank genome assembly.